UUUGUCUUCCAUAUGACAAUACAUUCGUCCGAAGAUAUGUCCCAUCAUGUAAAGAGUAGCAAAAUAGCAGUAGCAGUAGGUAAUCACAAAUAAUUUUUUGUGCCAAAACUUAUAGUACAUGAUACUCAAAACAUGUAGUAGAACCCAGUUCAUUAAUGCCACGAUUCGUCAAGAGGGACAGAACCCAGUUCGUCAACAUCUGAAAGUUUCAGAAAUACUAGAUGGCUACUACAAAACCUUUUUGAGACAUAUAUCCACCUCAUUGAUGCCACGAUUCUAGUACUAGUAGACAGGCAGCCGGGAAACCAGAAGGUUUAAUCUGCACAGAUCAUAACUGAAAAAAAAAACAAGUGCACUAAUAGACGCACACAUAGGUGACAUAAGUUCCUCUAAACAAUCCCUUGGGUAGAACGAAUUUGAUCUGUCAACGUCAGCAAGCACAUGAACUGGACUUCUUACGCGAAAUGUUCUUCCUGAUCUCCUUUUUGCACAUAGGCCUUUUUCGAGACACCGUUUCUUGCCACUGUAAUUUCCGUUAGAUAAU
Molecule: long non-coding RNA, 544 nt
Filed under: Triticum aestivum (bread wheat)
Lineage: Eukaryota; Viridiplantae; Streptophyta; Magnoliopsida; Poales; Poaceae
Description: long non-coding RNA (TAES_LNC002641)
Source: RNAcentral